AUGCUGUUCUCAGUUUCUGCACUCACCUGGUCCUGGGCCGGAAGGAGUGCGCUGUCCCCAGUGUGAGGAGCAGGGGCCAAAGGUUAUGCCAGCCCACAGCAACGAGGAGAUGCAUUGAAGGAAGGACGUUCGCUGCAGCACUAUUUUAAAUUUACAGAGGGAAGCAGGUCACCUCCUCCCACCCCUCAUCAUGAAGGAACCAGCUCACAGAUGCAGUGAAUGCACCAAGGCCACACUGAUUGUUCCUGAAACGACUGGCAUUAGACAUUCUCUCCACUAGGAUAGUCGUGAAUCAUUGUGAAGCAAACAAAUAGAAAUCAGGAGGGAGGCCAAUGUUCAGGAUCAGAGAAAAUUUUGAAGAUGCUCCACUGCUGGCUUUGAAGAUGGAGGAAGGAACCACAAACCAAAGGAAUGCAUUUGGGCCCAAGAAACUGGCAAAGGCAAGGACACAGACCUGUCCUAUCGUCUCCAGAAUAGGUUUGAGAGCCAUGCUUAGCACGGCCAGGGAUGAAACUGAGGGGGGUUGGUGAGGAUUAAAGAAGACAGACAAGAGAGUAAAGCUGGGGCUAGGUGGGACACUGCUCUCGGAUGGAGAAACAGUACCACAGCCUGAAAACGGAGUCUUUAUUUUAUAGCCAGAUUCCACAAGCAAGUUAAGAGUGUGGUCAAGAUGUUACAAUGUUCUUGGGGGAUUUGAAUCUACUCAAUUACAUGCACCUGAACUCUAUCAAGCUUUGUUUUGGGCACUUGCUGCACCUCCCGCAGUCUAUAUCCCUUACCCACCUGGGAUCACAGGUUUAGGUCAAGCUUACAACUAUUGCCUUUGUCUAUGAUUGUGCUGGGAGGGCUUUGCCCUCCAAGCUGGGACUUGCACAUGGCUUUGCCAGGAGAGAACCGUGCCCCCUCAUUAGUCCAAGGCUUAAACCUGUCCAAACGCUGUAGCCACUCUCCACAGGUUUGAUUUUAGCUCUUAGACCCAUUUCAGACUUCUAACCUCCACAUGUAAAACAAUGCAUGUGUGCUGUUUCUAAGCCAUUUAAGGUUGAGGUAAUUUGUUAACAGUGGCAACAGGAAACUAACACAAACCCCAGCCUCAGUCCUCGGGAGACAGCAGCAUGAGGAUGGGUGACUGCAGAGGCAGCCCAGAGUGUGAGUCCCGCUUUUCUUCCUUUAAGUGUCACUGUCAUCAUAACGGAGACACUGACUUAAAUGGCCCGUCGUGGUCUAUCAGGAGGAUGAGGCCUUCACUAAAGCUCUAGAGCAGUGGUUCUCAACCUUCCUAAUGCCUCGACCCUUUAAUACAGUUCCUCAUGUUGUGGUGACCCCCAACCAUAAAA
Molecule: long non-coding RNA, 1337 nt
Organism: Myotis myotis
Lineage: Eukaryota; Metazoa; Chordata; Mammalia; Chiroptera; Vespertilionidae
Exons: 3
Source: RefSeq, a predicted model, not a curated record